Long non-coding RNA from Cavia porcellus (domestic guinea pig), 7730 nucleotides. RefSeq lists it as uncharacterized. The transcript is spliced from 5 exons. Lineage: Eukaryota; Metazoa; Chordata; Mammalia; Rodentia; Caviidae. The record is from RefSeq and is a predicted model, not a curated record.
CAUAGGGCUGGACAGCUUUGUGUACAACAUGCUACCUGCAUAUAUUGGUUUUUUCCCCUAGAUAUGAAGGUGUAAUGCAUAGAGAAGAAGAAAUGUGUGUGUUCGCAGGCUUGGGCGCACGCACAUGAAGCCAGGAGGGAUUCCCUUUGGAUCCACAGUCGAAAUGGACUUACAAGAGAAACCUGGUUUGAACACAUGCGUCUUCCUUUGUGCGACAUAUGGCCCAUCCCUACCAGCCACGAGCGAGAUCAACAUCUGCUUCAGCUCCCACCAAAGCUGUUUCUUUGGCCUUUGUAAAGGGCAGAAAACUCGAAUGAGGACACAAAAUCAUCUCAAAGACUCACAGAGGAGUUGAGUCACCCACCACUUCCUGUGAGUUGGUUGAAAAGUUUUCAGCACAGGAGAAUCGUUUCCAACCUGCAAGUCAGGAGGAACUUCUGAGAUACAUCACCGUGCAAGUGUGAACCAAAAUUCCUGUUAACCACUGAUCAUCCACUCAGCCCUUCUGUGUGCCACCCACUGUGCUAAGCACCAUCUCACUUAACUCUCAUGGCUAUCCUUCAAGGGCAAUAGGUUUGCCUCUGAGAGGAGGAGAAGGUGGAAUAUCCUUUGCCCUGCAGCCUGCUAAAGAACCGUACUCUUGAGGCUUGAAAAUCAAGUGAACCCAUCUGGCUUAGACAGCUUAACAGCAUGAAGAUCAAAGUCACAUGGAUGAGGAAGGACAUCGCCACUUACUGAGGGGAGCUCUCACAUUGGAUGACAGGAUGGAGAUGGGAAGAAAUUUGGCCUGAGCCUACUAUUCACAAAGCCUUCCAUCUCAGACUUCAAAUAUCAACUUUGGGUGAUGCACACAGAGUCACUGUUUUUGGGUGGUUCAUAUUCAGGGUUAACUGGUAAAUGCAAAGAUUGCGGUCCUAUUACAGUUUUUUUAAAAAAAAUCUGUAUUGGCAUUUCCUCAUUUGUCAAUGUAGCAGGAACCUUAAUUGGGACAGAAAGCCUACUCCAUUUUCUUGGCCUAGGAAGCCUCGAGAAUUGAUGAAGACAUUCUCUAAUGUGGGCUAAGCUGUACAUUUGGAGCAUUUCCUCUCCUUGGGAAGGCCCUCAGAGGGAUGGAGAUCCUUGUCCUGCUAGUGUCCCUGUCCCACAGGAAGAGGUAUGACUGGAGGAAGCAUCUGCUUGGAUGCGAAAGCAGGCUGGGAAACAGACUCAUGCUUUUUCUCAAAGAGACUAGCCUGGGAGUAGGGAUUACAGUGCCACUGACCUUUCCAUGGUAUCCUGGUCUCCAUUCUUCAAGUGUGUCUGUCCACAGGAGAGAUCAGCUGUGGGAGAGUCAAUAGGGGAGUCUACAGAGUCAUUUCUUUGAAGAAAUCAAAUCCAUUGGGUGCUCUCAGGUGUAUGGAUGGCGCAGCAUGGAAGGUCAAAGAAACUCAAAUUUUGGAGUCCUGAGUCCGUCUCCAGGGCUGCAACAGUGACCUUGACUCCUGAUCCGAUGACCAGAGGAUCUUGGCAGUGGCAACAGUCAGAAUAUUUUUUCACAUUUAGGAAUGUGAUAAAUUGAAAACAAAUUGCAGUCUCAACGGCUUGGAGCUGGUUAAGGGAUUUUGAGCUCAUGCAGCCAGUACAACAAAUCAAAAAUCUAUCUUUUCUACACCCAACAUUAGGGAGAAACAACUGAGCAGACCCCUUCUGCAGUUACAGUUCCUUAGUAUGGAAUAUGUGGAAUUCAAGUCAAAAUAUGCCAAAAUGUUAGCAAUUAACUGCUUAUAUAUCACUACUAUUAGUUUCCAUUUUUCAUAUUUCCAGUGUACAAAUUGAUUUUUAUUAUAAAAAUAAACUCAUAAGGAAUAGUCUCUUAGAUCAAGAGCAAGAGCAUAAAUAUGGGCAUAGGGAGAAUGGAAGAAAAUAAAGCAAAAUGAUACUUUUGGUGAUAGAAUCAGAAUUUUUUUGCCUCCCAUCUUUAUAGUUUACUUUUAUAAUGGGUAUUUGCAUUUCAGAUAACUUUUUAAAAAAUGGAGGAGGAGGGAAAGAGUGGUGAGUGUUGGUUCAGCCCAGAACUUUGGGCUCCCUGGACUGUCUUUCAGGUGAACUGUGUGAUGUUUCCUGAGCCUGUGAACUGGGCUCAUUAUUUGGCCCUGGGAAGGAGGAGUGAGAAAUAUGAAGAUGAAGGAAAUGCAAGCACUUCAGUCAAAUAAAUCAUAACCCAGCUGGGGAGAUAAGAGCCUGCAUUAUGCCGUUGGCAUCGCAAGAUCUUAAUCCUAGAAGUUUAUCUGUUAAGAGUGAUAGCAAUGCAAGUGACAGUAUACCGAGCUUUAAAACUACCUCAGUUGGGAAGAAACUUACUUUUUUUUUGUACCAGGGAUUGAACUCACAACCUUGUGCUAGCCAGGCAGGUACUUGUGCUGCUGAGCUAAAUCCCCGUUCCCAGAAACUCACUUCUAUUCCUAACUAUGCCAGACCUGAUCUUCAGUAUGCUUUUCUGUAAAUGUACACUACCUCAUAAUGUCAUUGUGAGUGUUAAACAAAGCCUGUGCAUAAAAGGCCAUAUAAGCCUGUGCAUAUAAGGCUACCUUCAUCAUGAGUCACGUUGCCAUUACUUUGGAUCAGGUAUUUGGGGCCAGCCAUCCAUAAGCCAUGCUUUCCCAGUUAUGAUUGGGAUUUGGACUCACAUUUAUCUAAUUUCAAAUCCAUUUAUUCUACUGAUGCCGCACUUACCCCUCCACACCAAACUGAAAUUUGUUCUGAACCUCACCUUUGUCUUCUUUAUGAUUUUGGCAGAAAAAAAGCCAAAUGCCUAUUCAAAGAUCAGAGGAGAAAUGAGUUUGCUUCAGAGAACAUGAGAGAAAGAUGCUUCCCUUCGUGCAGGACACCGCAGUGUUGCCUAGAGUUUUGCAGUGCCUUUUGCUGUAGAAGAUUCACUCUGAAGCCUGUGCUGGUGACACAGCACUACUUGGCUUGGCCUUAACUGCAAGACUGACAGGUUUUGCCUCCUAAUCACGUGUGUUAGUUUACUCUGGCUAAAGGGCAGAACAUGAAUGGAGAGUAAAAGAAAGUAUAAAGGAGGAGCAUCAUGUUCAAAAUGGACAACAAAUGCCGAGAAGUGUGAGCCAUGGUAGACGGCAGAGUUUGGGUCACAGGCGCUUAUAGAGAAGACCUGAUCCUAAGGUUACUGUGCAGGUAGGACAGCCUCCAGAAGCUGACCGACAAGCUGAAGGACCUAUUUUAAAGUAGUGACAAAGGUUGGAGGUGGCACUGAUUUUUUCCCUUGACAGUGAGUUUCUUGUGUACUCAGGUUGGAAAUCUUCCCUAAUUGAAUCAUGAGUUAAAAGCAACGACAGUUCAGUAAAAAGGACAAGGAAAACCAAAUGCACAGGGGACAUUCUCUUUAGGAACAUCCAUGUCACUCAGAAAAGUUACCUCCUUGAAACGAAUGUUGAUAUCAAUGGUCUCCCCAGUCAUCUGUUUUUUUCAGCGCUCAAUCUAACCUCCCCUGGAACCCAUGUUGCCCCAACUCAUCUUCAUGGCAGGCACCGAAGGAGGACUGUAAAUACUGCAGGAAGAGCAAUAACUCAGGCACUCAAGCUUACAUAAUGGAUUGUUUCUCUUAUGUGAGAAACCCAAAAUAUAAAUAAAGAACAAAGUAAAAAACAGAUAAUAGGAAAUAGGGAGAUAGAGCUUUUGCAAAGGGAAGAGAACCAAGAGAUGGGGGCGGGGAAAAGAGAAGGACAAAGAAUUACAUGUCUCGCAUAUGUACCAAUGCCACAGGAUGAAUGUAAUUAUUAUGUACCACAAGCAUCUAAUAAAAAAUUUAAAAACUGAAGCCAGUGCAGAUAAGAGCACAGGAGAGCUAUGUGUUUGAAUAAGGGAGAAGAAUAUGACAGCAGAUCAGGUAUGAAGUAAAGUAAAGGCAGAGAUGGGUAGAAAAGGUUUCCCAGACAAGCCAGGACUUGAGUUGCAUCUUCAAGAGCAGUGCAUGCAUUCUCUCUGGUCCUAAGACAGGAAGUGAUUUCAGGCAGAGGCUUCAGGGAGCCUGAGAAUGUGUCAUGCACCCGUGGUGUGCUCGGUCCAUGGCAGAGGCUGGCUGAGAGGUGCUUAUAGAGAAGACUUGAGACAAUAAGGCUACUAUGUAGGUAGGACAAUCCCUAGAAGCUGACCAACAGGCUGAAGGACCUAUUAUAACAGUAGUGACAAGGGGAAGAGGUGGCAUUGGUUUGCUCCCUGGCAGUGAAUUUCUUGUACAUGCAGGAGUUGAUGCCAUGUUGAGCAAUAUGGAGGUCAAGCCUCCUGUGCUUUUUGUUAGGGCUUCAGUUUGAGGAGAUGAAUUAAAUAGCCCAGAUUUAUCAACUAUUAGAUGAUGAGAACAGCAUAUAAUUGAAUCAUAGGAAAAUCUAUUCAUUCAUACAUUCGUUUCUUCCUGUAGUCAUUUAGAAUGGUUCUUAUGCAUCGAAUACUUUAUAUUAAGUACUGCUGAAAUCCUGGUGGGAAUGCUACACAAUUUAGGACUUGGCUCCAAUCUCAAGAACCUUCAAGUCAGAAUAAAGGAGAGAUGAUUACUAACUCCACUGUGUUAACCCAUCAACUAAGUUCUUACUUACCUCCUACAACUCCUUAAACCAUUUCAAUAUACUUCCUAUUUCUUACCAGAAAAAUAUGAACUCUUAUCUAAGACUAAUUUUCUCUAUAUGGGAAGCCUUUGCUCACCUCCUAAAACUCAUCUCGUACCCAUCCCUUCCUUCUUCUGCUCCAAUUCCAUUGCUGUUUCAACAGGGCUCACCAGACUCUCUUCAACCACAGGGCUGUGGCACAUGCUGUUCCUUCAGCCCAAGUCAUCUUCUCUGGCUCAUGCCUACUUAUGGCCAUAAGCUCAGAUUACUACUAGUUCCUUGGGAAGGGUUUCUCAGUCCAUCUACUUGAUCAUGUCUUUAUUAUACACUCUCCUACUCCAUAUGAUAUCACUUAUAGCCCUUGUCCUAGUUAUUAUUUUUCAUUUAUUUACACAAGGACUACAUUAAUACCAGACCAAAAAUUCCCCUAAUGCAAGCACUGGUUUUAUAAUAAUUUCUAUAGCAUAAUUUAUUUCUAAUAAUCACAUACCUUUCGAUGAAUAUUGACAAAUUUAUGCAAACCAUAUACACAUGUUUAUUACCACAGUCUUGUGUGGAACAUUUAUAUCUCCCCCAAAAAUCAUGCUGUGCUUCAGGCCGCUGCUGAUCUUCUUUUUGUCCUUGCAGCCUGGAUGUCUCUUGUAUAGUCUGAUACAUGUAGGACCAUAUGGUCAGUAUCCUUUAUGUCUGGCUUCUCCCACACAACAUAAUGUUUUUUAGUCAUCCGUGUGGUCAUCCGUGUUGUCAUCAUAGUCUGUUCCUUUUAAUUUUCAAAUGUUGGGGUCGGUGCCUAGACCCCUAAUCCCCUGAAAGUGUACACAGCAAAGGCCCAAAGGAAUGAAACAAGCAGCUUGAUCUUUAGGAGGAGUGAAAUCCUCAGCAGAGCUCAUAACUGGGCUGGCCAACCAAUUGAUGCUAGACAGCCCAUAUUUAAUCAGAACAAGCAAGGAGUUGAGUGGACAAUGGAGGAAACCUGAACAGGAUCUUGGGAGGGGUUCAAGGAGCUCUCAGAGCAACAGAAGAUGCUAAUUAAGGAAAACUAUGUAGAAAGUGUCCAGGUAGCCUCAGCUGUGACCUACCUUGCCACCUGAGGUGUCUCCUCAUCCUCAGUUCAAUCAUGCCCAGGCCAGGCCACAGCCCUGCAUGUGUUCAACACUCUCCAACAGCUGAAUAAUGCCAUUUGCAUUGUUUCAUUGGAGUUACCACUAUUCUUUUAGGCAUCCUUCAACUUCCUGAGGCUGGUGCCACAUUUUCUGACAUUUCCAGGACUUACAUAGGUCUGGGUAAAUAGGUGGCCUUUGGAAGGGACAUAGCCCAAUUCACUGAUCCAGGCCAUGUGAGCGAUCACUUUGCUAGCACUCAGCAGUCAUCCUCACAUACACAGACUUCCUUUGCAUACUUCACUAGUUAAACUUCUCAGUCCAGGUUCCUAAGAAUACUUGCCUUUCCUCAGAACCACUCUGAUGCUUCCCAGAGCCACAGGGAACAGUCUUGGGUCAGCCUUCGCAAUAAGGCAGUAUGGGCGAUGGUGAUAGGCAAAUCCCUCUAACAUUUUUGAACCUGGACUUCCUUAUCUGUUGAAGGGAGAUGUUGAUAUCUGCCUCAAGGGUCAUAAAGUGAACUCAGAUAUAUGAAAGUGCUGUGUGAAGUAGAAAAUACAAUAUUGUAGAGUAAAAAUAACCUCCUAAGUUACCUGAGACAUAUAGACCUUCACUGUCUUUUCCAUCAGAUGAGGCUGAACUAGUGUUCACCAAACUGCCUUUCAUCUUGAGUCCUCUUAUAGUCUAGGGUUCUGGAACACUAAAAACAGAGCCUGUCUGUCUUUCCAGCAUAGGAAAAAUUGUGGUGCUUUUAAAGAGAACAAUCAGUUUCUCCGAAAAUUCUCUUUCUGAGUAAAGAAAGUCAGCUUCGGUUUCCAGAACGAGCCAAUAUUUUUGCAUCAAUAGGUUUAACUCUGUAGUUAUUUCUAAGAACAGUAGGGCAAACAAUAGAGCUCCUGAUUUCCAGAGUGCUAACUGGGGCUAUGAAGCAUGUCCUUUGCUGGGAACUGAUCUUUGGUCUGGAUAAAUGUGUCCAACUUGUUAAACCAGUAAUUUAGUUAAAUCCACCUCUACAUGAACCCUGUCAUUCAGACAACAGAGAAUUUUUGAGUGCUACAUUGUGUUAAGUGCUUUAUCUAUAUUGUCACCCUCAACAGCUCUAUACUGUAGUGAGGUGGAAAUUGAGCUCAUAACUGUUCCUCAGACAAAGGAUUACUAUUGAGAGCAUAUAAGGAAAAAGAAAUCAGUCCUUCUAGAUUUAAAGAUCCAGUCCAUAAAUGGGCAUCUGAGAUGAAUACACACUUCUCAUGUGAAGAAAUACAAACAUGAAAUAAAUAUAUGAGAACAUGUUCAGCAUCACUGGUCAUUCAAAAGAUGCAAAUUAAAACUACACUGAGAUCCCAUCUUACUCCAGUAAAAUGGCUAUUAUCAAGUAAUCAAGCAAUAACAAAUGCUGGUGGGGCUUUGGGGAGAAAGAACCCUUCUCCUCUGUUGGUGGGGGUGUAGACUGGUGCAACCACUGUGAAAAUCAGUGUGGAGAUUCUUCAAAAAGCUAGAAUUGGAGGUUCCAUUUGACCCAGCUAUUUCCCUUCUGAAUAUUUUCCCAGAAGAAUUUAAAACAUCAUAUCAUAGUGAUAUAUGUGCACUCAUGUUUAUAGCAAUACAAUUUGUAGUAGCUAGAUCUUGGAAACAACCUAAAUGCUCAUCGACUGAUGAAUGGAUAAAAAAGAUGUAAUAUUUUUAUACAGUGGAAUAUUACUCAGACACAAAGAUGGCUAAACUUGAGACCUUUAUAGGUAAAUGGAUGCAACUUGAGGCCAUACUCAUAAGUGAAAUAAAUCAGACAUGCAUGUGUAAACAUCAAAUUGCCUCACCAGGUGAGAAGCUGAAAGAAACAAUAUAUGCAUAUCUAUAUCUAUAUCUAUAUCUAUAUCUAUAUCUAUCUAUCUAUAUAUAAGAUAGUUAAGAUAGUUAUAUUUUCUCUGAGUUCAUUGAAGAGGAAGGUUUGUGCUAGAAUUAUUUGGACUAUUAAAUGCAGAAAUCUUGUAUUCUGAUAACCAACUUGAACAUGAUGUGCAUAUAUAUAUGU